RNAcentral lists this ribosomal RNA (512 nucleotides) under uncultured bacterium. RNAcentral's name for it is "bacterial SSU rRNA". It matches the Rfam family "Bacterial small subunit ribosomal RNA", at positions 36 to 507 of the family's 1533-position model. The record is from RNAcentral.
CUGGCGGCGUGCCUAAUACAUGCAAGUCGAACGCACUCUCGUUAGAUUGAAGAAGCUUGCUUCUGAUUGAUAACAUUUGAGUGAGUGGCGGACGGGUGAGUUAACACGUGGGUAACCUGCCCUAAAGUGGGGGAUAACAUUUGGAAACAGAUGCUAAUACCGCAUAAAACCUAGCACCGCAUGGUGCAAGGUUGAAAGAUGGUUUCGGCUAUCACUUUAGGAUGGACCCGCGGUGCAUUAGUUAGUUGGUGAGGUAAAGGCUCACCAAGACCGUGAUGCAUAGCCGACCUGAGAGGGUAAUCGGCCACACUGGGACUGAGACACGGCCCAGACUCCUACGGGAGGCAGCAGUAGGGAAUCUUCCACAAUGGACGAAAGUCUGAUGGAGCAACGCCGCCGUGAGUGAAGAAGGUUUUCGGAUCGUAAAACUCUGUUGUUGGAGAAGAACGUAUUUGAUAGUAACUGAUCAGGUAGUGACGGUAUCCAACCAGAAAGCCACGGCUAACUACGUG